Molecule: ribosomal RNA, 252 nt
Filed under: uncultured bacterium
Lineage: Bacteria
Description: partial 16S ribosomal RNA
Rfam family: Bacterial small subunit ribosomal RNA
Source: RNAcentral
CAGAGGGAAGCAAGACCGCGAGGUGGAGCAAAUCCCUAAAAGCCAUCCCAGUUCGGAUUGCAGGCUGCAACCCGCCUGUAUGAAGUUGGAUUCGCUAGUAAUCGCGCAUCAGCCACGGCGCGGUGAAUACGUUCCCGGGCCUUGUACACACCGCCCGUCAAGCCAUGGAAGCCGGGAGUGCCUGAAGUGCGUGAGCGCAAGCAGCGCCCUAAGGUAAAACCGGUGACUGGGGCUAAGUCGUAACAAGGUAUC